This is a long non-coding RNA of Phyllopteryx taeniolatus (common seadragon), 1663 nucleotides long. RefSeq lists it as uncharacterized. The transcript has 6 exons. The record is from RefSeq and is a predicted model, not a curated record. NCBI's taxonomy places the organism in Eukaryota, Metazoa, Chordata, Actinopteri, Syngnathiformes, Syngnathidae.
UCGAAAACCAUUCGCGCCGCCUCUUUUCUCUUCCGGACAAGCUCUGGCUAACGUGGCUGUGAGAACCAGUACAGUAUUGCAACAAUUGUCACGAAUCUCAUGUUUUCUUCUCGAGAAUUACAAUGAAAGAAAUCAUUCAUGAAGAUUUCCUGAUGACAUCCAGUUUGUCUGUUAAGGGCAAAAAAUCCCAGAUCGGAGAUGGGUGACUGACAAAAGUGGAGGUUUACUCCCCUGGGUGUCAUCACCACCACAGUACCGUUGGAACUCUUUGGAACAGCAAACAGAGUCAUGUUUGCAUGUUUCUUAAUCGUGUCAAAAGGCCUUCUGUUGAGUUUGCCAAAACCUCAAAGGAUGAUGGGUACACUAGGCAGUAGGGCAACAAAUAUUUGUGCCAUUGCAUGACUGAAUGCACAAAUUGACAAUUUGAAAUGUUUAUUUAUUUUUUUGCAACCAGAGCCAACAAUCCUAAAGAAUCAUCUUGUCGCCACUGACUGUUUUCUGCUCACUUUGUCCGUCAUUGCUUUUGUCGAACAAGUGACGUUUGUCAUCUUUUGACGUCUAGGGUGGAUGAGCGCGACUCAUCUGCUACAUAUUAGAUUUAUGUUCACAUAGAAAAUAGGUUUCUUGCUUUUUGCUAAGGAACUUUCCUGUCUGAGCAAGAUGACCCCAAAAAAGUACUUUGAGCUUAGGUUGUUCACAUUUUUAAAAAUGCUUAGGAAAGGUCCCUCGAUGCCACCUUUUUAGCAAAGGUUACUCCUGACCAACCUUUAUGAAAAGGGAGCGAUAUUACCUGUUACACAAGGUCUCUUAGGAAAAGUGGAGUUAAAUUCAUUGCUGGCCUUUUCCAUGAUCGAAAGAGCGCACCGUUUCAUCUCUCCUUAACCUAAUGAACAACAAAGGUUACGACAAAGUGGCAUAAAGGUUUGAUUUGUUUUUCCGAAAAGGUCCCAAGACUGGUUGGAAUCUUAAAAACAUUAAAAAAAAAAAAACUCUGAGGCUAUGCAAGUAAUUACAUUUUAAUCAAAUACAAAUAUUUGAGUUUUUUUUUUUUUUUUAAAUAAAAUUUUUCAUCAUGCUACGACAUCAACAGAUUGGUGUCAGUUUAAACCAAGUCAGUGUUGUUGUUCUGCCCAGUGUACCCACAAUGCUUUGGGUUUUAUUUCAGAGAUGGCGAAGUCCGUACUGGAUGUAGUCAUGUUCAUGGUGUCCAAAUGGCUGCAAUGGGGCAGGUUCCUAUGCAAGCUCCCGGAAGGAUACGGCGUCUUUCAGUGGUACGUACAGUUGAGUUAAUAGUUUGAUGUGUGAGGCACGCAUGCAGUAUUAAGGUGCAUCUUUGUUAAGGGCGGAUGAGUAAUGGACAAAACCCUAGCGAUGUAUUAAAAAUGGUCUGUUUGUUCGAUGAUGAUUCAUAUUCGGUUCGACUGAUGUAAAGCUGAAGUUUACUCGCAGCGCACUGAGACGCUCAGACCACUGAGAUUAUUAUUUUUUUUCUUUAUGAUGAUUUUCAUGUUGAACAAAAUAGAUCAACUUUUAUUCCCCCACCUCCAAACAGCUAAUUGUGAGGCACUCGUCUUGCAGACUGCAGUAGGUUUUGAAAAGGUUGGUGUUAUUUUGGUAUUCUUUCAGUGAUUCUGAAUAAGUAACUGAAAUGUUAAAUUCUGUC